Molecule: ribosomal RNA, 512 nt
Filed under: uncultured bacterium
Lineage: Bacteria
Description: bacterial SSU rRNA
Rfam family: Bacterial small subunit ribosomal RNA
Source: RNAcentral
GACGAACGCUGGCGGCGUGCCUAAUACGUGCAAGUCGAACGCACUCUCGUUUAGAUUGAAGGAGCUUGCUCCUGAUUGAUAAACAUUUGAGUGAGUGGCGGACGGGUGAGUAACACGUGGGUAACCUGCCCUAAAGUGGGGGAUAACAUUUGGAAACAGAUGCUAAUACCGCAUAAAACCUAACACCGCAUGGUGUAGGGUUGAAAGAUGGUUUCGGCUAUCACUUUAGGAUGGACCCGCGGUGCAUUAGUUAGUUGGUGAGGUAAAGGCUCACCAAGACCGUGAUGCAUAGCCGACCUGAGAGGGUAAUCGGCCACACUGGGACUGAGACACGGCCCAGACUCCUACGGGAGGCAGCAGUAGGGAAUCUUCCACAAUGGACGAAAGUCUGAUGGAGCAACGCCGCGUGAGUGAAGAAGGUUUUCGGAUCGUAAAACUCUGUUGUUGGAGAAGAAUGUAUCUGAUAGUAACUGAUCAGGUAGUGACGGUAUCCAACCAGAAAGCCAACGGCU